UUGGUGAGUGGCGGACGGGUGAGUAACACGUGGGUAACCUGCCCAAAAGUGGGGGAUAACAUUUGGAAACAAGUGCUAAUACCGCAUAACAACUACUUUCACAUGAUCGUAGCUUGAAAGAUGGCUCUGCUAUCGCUUUUGGAUGGACCCGCGGCGUAUUAGCUAGUUGGUGAGGUAAUAGCUCACCAAGGCAAUGAUACGUAGCCGACCUGAGAGGGUAAUCGGCCACAUUGGGACUGAGACACGGCCCAAACUCCUACGGGAGGCAGCAGUAGGGAAUCUUCCACAAUGGGCGAAAGCCUGAUGGAGCAAUGCCGCGUGAGUGAAGAAGGUUUUCGGAUCGUAAAACUCUGUUGUUGAAGAAGAACAUGCGUGAGAGUAACUGUUCACGUACUGACGGUAUUCAACCAGAAAGCCACGGCUAACUACGUGCCAGCAGCCGCGGUAAUACGUAGGUGGCAAG
This 463-nucleotide ribosomal RNA is filed under the name Lactobacillus sp. RNAcentral's name for it is "bacterial SSU rRNA". It matches the Rfam family "Bacterial small subunit ribosomal RNA", at positions 88 to 538 of the family's 1533-position model. The record is from RNAcentral. Lineage: Bacteria; Bacillati; Bacillota; Bacilli; Lactobacillales; Lactobacillaceae.